AUUGAACGCUGGCGGAAUGCUUUACACAUGCAAGUCGAGCGGCAGCGCGGCCUUCGGGCUGGCGGCGAGCGGCGAACGGGUGAGUAAUGCAUCGGAACAUGCCCAGUCGUGGGGGAUAACACUUCGAAAGAAGUGCUAAUACCGCAUACGUCCUGAGGGGGAAAGCGGGGGAUCGCAAGACCUCGCGCAAUUGGAGUGGCCGAUGUCAGAUUAGCUAGUUGGUGGGGUAAAGGCCUACCAAGGCGACGAUCUGUAGCUGGUCUGAGAGGAUGAUCAGCCACACUGGGACUGAGACACGGCCCAGACUCCUACGGGAGGCAGCAGUGGGGAAUUUUGGACAAUGGGGGCAACCCUGAUCCAGCCAUUCCGCGUGAGUGAAGAAGGCCUUCGGGUUGUAAAGCUCUUUCGGCAGGAACGAAACGGUGGGCUCUAACAUAGUCCGCUAAUGACGGUACCUGAAGAAGAAGCACCGGCUAACUACGUG
Molecule: ribosomal RNA, 484 nt
Filed under: uncultured bacterium
Lineage: Bacteria
Description: partial 16S ribosomal RNA
Rfam family: Bacterial small subunit ribosomal RNA
Source: RNAcentral